Molecule: unclassified non-coding RNA, 288 nt
Organism: Cavia porcellus (domestic guinea pig)
Lineage: Eukaryota; Metazoa; Chordata; Mammalia; Rodentia; Caviidae
Rfam family: Metazoan signal recognition particle RNA
About the family: The signal recognition particle (SRP) is a universally conserved ribonucleoprotein. It is involved in the co-translational targeting of proteins to membranes. The eukaryotic SRP consists of a 300-nucleotide 7S RNA and six proteins: SRPs 72, 68, 54, 19, 14, and 9.
Source: Ensembl
GCCAGGUGUGGUGGUGCGUACCUAUAGUCCCAGCUAUUUGGGAGGCUGAGGUGGGAGGCUGGCGUGAGUGCAGGAGUUCUGGGCUGCAUUGCUCUAUCAGGUGUCCUCACUAAGUUCAGCACCAGUAUGGUGAACUACAUGGAGCUGGGGCCCACCAGGUUACCUAUGGUGGGGUGAACUGGCUCAGGUUGGAAAUGGAGCACGUCAAAAGAUUCUUAGGAGCUCUGUGCCUGGGGCCUCUGAUGGGCAUUUGAAUCAACUGGAGAGAAAACUCAAACAUUUUCUCCU